GUAAGUGCGAUGGAACCUUCAGGUUCCAACCGCCGCCAGGGCCGCUCCGCCCAGUGGAGCCUGUCCGGCCCCCUUGCUGCCCGCUAGCUCCCGCCGGCUGGCGCAAGCUGUCGGCGCCGGGGCACUGCGGGCGGGGUCGGAGCCUGGCCUUCCUGACGUUGCAGCUGCCGUCCCCGCACGUUCCGGCCAGGGCCUCCCUCUUAGGGCCGGGCGGUGCCCGUGGCUCAGGCUGCAGAGUAGAAAGCACAAAAACCAGCCUGAUUGUAUCUGGAAAAAACCAUUAUGUUACAGUUGAUAGGCUCACCCCAAAAUAUGCUUUUGGGGACUGAUUUAGCACCUGCAUAUUCUGCGUGAAUCUCUUUAAUUGGUUGCAGUUGAGCUAAUGGUGGAGCCAAAAUGCUAUUGCCCUGUCUUCAUCAACAUUUAAUCAAGAACGUUUGUCUGCCUGAUGAGAGCCACUUGGGUUAAGAAACUACCUGUGAAUAGUCAUCAUUUCUGUCCUUCAUUGGGGAAUACUUUUAGAGAGUGUUGCGGAGAUAGGAACAUGGGAGAGAAACAAUCUGGGUAAC
Molecule: long non-coding RNA, 569 nt
Filed under: Homo sapiens (human)
Lineage: Eukaryota; Metazoa; Chordata; Mammalia; Primates; Hominidae
Description: non-protein coding lnc-CROT-4:1
Source: RNAcentral